Molecule: ribosomal RNA, 426 nt
Filed under: uncultured Actinomycetes bacterium
Lineage: Bacteria; Bacillati; Actinomycetota; Actinomycetes
Description: bacterial SSU rRNA
Rfam family: Bacterial small subunit ribosomal RNA
Source: RNAcentral
AACGCGAAGAACCUUACCUGGGUUGAACUACGCAGGAAAAGCCGUAGAGAUACGGUGUCCGCAAGGGCCUGCGAUAGGUGGUGCAUGGCUGUCGUCAGCUCGUGUCGUGAGAUGUUGGGUUAAGUCCCGCAACGAGCGCAACCCUUGUCCUAUGUUGCCAGCGGGUAAUGCCGGGGACUCGUAGGAGACUGCCGGGGUCAACUCGGAGGAAGGUGGGGAUGACGUCAAGUCAUCAUGCCCCUUACGCCCAGGGCUGCACACAUGCUACAAUGGCCGGUACAAAGGGCUGCUAUCCCGCGAGGGUGAGCGAAUCCCAAAAAGCCGGUCUCAGUUCGGAUCGCAGUCUGCAACUCGACUGCGUGAAGUCGGAGUCGCUAGUAAUCCCGGAUCAGCAACGCCGGGGUGAAUACGUUCCCGGGCCUUGUA